UCUCUAAGAACAUUGAGAAAGAAAAACUCACUAGGCACUUUCACUCGUGAUUUAGCGCGAUUUAGAGUUAGAUUUUGAAUAUGCUGAAGUUGAACAAAAGAUAGAUCAAGGCAUUAUUUCAUCACCUUUUGUGUCAUUUAAAGCUUCAGGAGUAGGAUUUGCCUAGCGAAGUGAAUUACGAAGUUGAUCAAGGUAAAAUAAUUCAUCUUAGUAGCAAACAAGGAGGAGAUGAAUGAUUGAAGAAUUUGUAUUUCAAUCUUCGCUGUCCUUUUUGAGGGGCCCCAUGACGCCGGCCAUCAUUGCCACCUAUUGUUGAACCCAAAUAAUGAUAAUGAUCCUCGAACUUUCAGACUUCGAACCGCUCACAUCAUCCGAAGACCAAUUACGUUUGGACGCAUCCCUUUUGACAUCCCUCAUUGACUGGUGGAGACCUGAAACCCACACCUUUCACUUUCGUUUUGGGGACCUUGCACCUACACUGAAAGAUGUUUCUAGGAUCACUGCUCUACCAAUUAGA
Long non-coding RNA from Triticum dicoccoides, 517 nucleotides. RefSeq lists it as uncharacterized. Lineage: Eukaryota; Viridiplantae; Streptophyta; Magnoliopsida; Poales; Poaceae. The transcript has 5 exons. The record is from RefSeq and is a predicted model, not a curated record.